AGUCCUCCAGAGAACUCCAAAACAAACAGCUCUCCUGAAGCCCCUCUCUUUACUGAUGCUCUCUGAGAUGGUCAACAAACCAGGCAUGAAGGGCACCAGGGAUGGAUGAUCCUUAUCCUUUGGGAACAACAGAGCUCUCAACAGCAAGGCAAAGCUCCAGGGAUGGAUUUCUGCUCCCCCUUGGUUCAGGAUGCUGGCCAUUGGGGAUACAGGUGUGGGAAAGGUGUGGAUAGAAACAAACCAGCAGCAGAGCAGGCCUGUGAAUUUGCCGAAGCUGUAAUCUGAGAUCUGUGCAUGAUGUGCCAAAUCAGCUUUUGGACUCCAAGACCAAAUUGUGACUGGUUGGGGUUUACCAGGGUGGAAAACAGAGGGAAAUGUCUGCUGGUUUGAGCAUUGAUGUUCCAGGUGUGAUUUUACAUCUAAGGAAAAUACUCUCACUUCAAAAACGUACAAAGCCCCCACCCCAUGCAAUAGGGACAAACUGUUUUCAUCACUUGCCUUUAUCAAAGCAACUUGAGUUGGUUCCACACUGCUGUGAAAUCAGCAGCAUCUUCUGCUUUUAUAAAACAGAACAAAUUUGUUUCAUGCUAAAAUAGAACCUGGUGUUUCUACUCGGAACAAAGAUGACGUGCUUUUCACUUUUUAUGAGACAUUUUGGAAAGAAGGCCCACCUUUGAUUUUAUCUACAUUUUUCACUUUGUUUUUGUUUUGUUUGCCAAGCAAGAUCAAAAACCCACACAGUGGAAAUCUAUUUUCAGUAAAAAAACCCACUGCUCAUUAUUCCAUCACAGUGCCCAGGUGAAAAUGAAAAUAAAACUUUAAAUAAGUGUACUUGAAGGCUACUAGGCAAUAUUGUCACAGGAUCAUGGAAUGUGAAGGGGUUGGGAGGGACCAUAAGGACCAUCUAGUCCCAACCCUGCUGCCAGGAACAGGGACAUCUUCCACCAGACCAGGCUGCUCAAGGCUUGUCCAAAGUGUCCCUGGACACUGCCAGGGAUGGGAGUCCAUGACUUCUGUGGGCAACCCAUUCCAGUGUCUCACCACACUUACAAAAAGAAUUUCUUCCUAAUAUCUGACCUAAAUUUCCCCUCUUUCCAUUUGUAUCCAUUACUCCUUGUCCCAUAACUACAGUUCUUGGCGAAGAGCAUAAUAAAAAAUACUUUUAAA
Molecule: long non-coding RNA, 1167 nt
Organism: Haemorhous mexicanus (house finch)
Lineage: Eukaryota; Metazoa; Chordata; Aves; Passeriformes; Fringillidae
Exons: 2
Source: RefSeq, a predicted model, not a curated record